UAGAAAAUUUAAAAGGGACAGACAUUUUUAUUAACUUUAGUUUUACAACAACUACAAAUUUUCCCUCUUAAGUUAAAAAAAAAAAAAAGUGUUUCUAUCUGUAUCUCUCCAUCCUACUCCCACGUGCCCCAGAAAAUUAGUCCAGGAUGGAGACAAGACAAUUCAAGAAAAGGAGUGUACAUUCACUCAAGAUAUCUUCCAAUGUUUCUCUAAAGAAUCACUGUCCUGCUACGUCCAGAGGAGCCUAGAUACCUAUAUUUGCUGGCAUCAUCAGUAACAUUUGAUAUAAAGGUCAUCAUCAUCAUGGAAGCCUCUGUUCCAGCUAUGUUUGACAAGAAGUGGAUAAAUACAGUCUUCUCCCUAGGAAAAAAUGACCUGAAGUGACAUUUGAAGACAUGCUGGAUCUGACACCAAGAAUUUUUACCCAGAGCAUCCAGAAAGAAUGUCAUCAAAGAGUUAAAAAAAAAAAAAAAAGAAAAGAAAAGAAAAAGAGAGAGCAAAAGCUGAGAAACAAAGCCAGAAUGUAAAACUAUAGAACAGUACCAACAAUAAGGAGGACAGAGCAGACAAGAAUCAAGCCAGGAAGAGAAACAAAUCAGAAAGUUUUAUUGACAGUAGGUCAAGGCAAAGAAUUUAGGAUGCUAGCAAUGAACAAGAGAGUACGAGUGUGGAAGACUCUAUCGGUUGCUUACACUAUGGUGCUUGAGUACAACAGUGCCCAUUCUGUGACCUGUACUCAAGAAUGGAAAUAUCGUAUUGAUCAAUGAUUAUUAUUUUUUAUUUUAACAUGGAAUCUCCUCUGUUUUAUGUGGUAAAAGUACAUUGAUUUCAAGGUAUCCUAGCAAUCAAUCCAUAUGAACUAUGAAUAAAUUACUUUUAAAUUAA
Molecule: long non-coding RNA, 885 nt
Organism: Pteropus alecto (black flying fox)
Lineage: Eukaryota; Metazoa; Chordata; Mammalia; Chiroptera; Pteropodidae
Exons: 3
Source: RefSeq, a predicted model, not a curated record